GAUGAACGCUGGCGGCGUGCCUAAUACAUGCAGGUCGAGCGAACGGACGAGAAGCUUGCUUCUCUGAUGUUAGCGGCGGACGGGUGAGUAACACGUGGAUAACCUACCUAUAAGACUGGGAUAACUUCGGGAAACCGGAGCUAAUACCGGAUAAUAUUUUGAACCGCAUGGUUCAAAAGUGAAAGACGGUCUUGCUGUCACUUAUAGAUGGAUCCGCGCUGCAUUAGCUAGUUGGUAAGGUGACGGCUUACCAAGGCAACGAUGCAUAGCCGACCUGAGAGGGUGAUCGGCCACACUGGAACUGAGACACGGUCCAGACUCCUACGGGAGGCAGCAGUAGGGAAUCUUCCGCAAUGGGCGAAAGCCUGACGGAGCAACGCCGCGUGAGUGAUGAAGGUCUUCGGAUCGUAAAACUCUGUUAUUAGGGAAGAACAUAUGUGUAAGUAACUGUGCACAUCUUGACGGUACCUAAUCAGAAAGCCACGGCUAACUACGUG
This 497-nucleotide ribosomal RNA is filed under the name uncultured bacterium. RNAcentral describes it as "partial 16S ribosomal RNA". It matches the Rfam family "Bacterial small subunit ribosomal RNA", at positions 28 to 507 of the family's 1533-position model. The record is from RNAcentral.